Leguminivora glycinivorella is the source of this 2040-nucleotide long non-coding RNA. RefSeq lists it as uncharacterized. The record is from RefSeq and is a predicted model, not a curated record. Lineage: Eukaryota; Metazoa; Arthropoda; Insecta; Lepidoptera; Tortricidae. The transcript is spliced from 3 exons.
ACAUUAUUUUCUAUACACCACUUAUUCAGGCAUGAUACAUUUUUAAAAGCGCAGACAUUAGCAUGAUAUAUACAAUUUUGAAUAUCACAUUUAUUUGAAUAUUUUUCGCAUAAAGUCUUUAAAUUUGGGCAGUCAAAAUGUUCUAAAUUAUAAACAUUAUCACUGUCUGUUAUUUCUUUCACCCACUGCACUUUUUCAUAACCUUUUGUAUAAAUGUGUUUAUCUUUACAGUAAUCAACAAUCAAAUUCUUAUAAUUAAAAUAUGAUACAUAGCCUUCAUUCCAUAAUAUUCCUUUGUAUUUUUCCACCCAAGAGACUUGUGAACGUUCUUUCUUUGUUAAGGUAUAGAACGGAUGGGGAGGGCUGAUCAGAAACACAAGAAAACUUUUUUGAGAAAUAAUCGCCACUUCUUUUGGUUGGUUCGCUUCUAAUCCCUCGUCAUCGCUAUCGGCACCGAAUAGUUCCGCUGCAGUGCCGUGCCGCGGCUUCACAGGAGCUAUUCUGACCCUCUUGCUCGAGCUUGCUGACGAUGUCGAUGGCUUGGAUUUUUUCUUUUUUCGACCGCGUCAGCCUUCGGUGGUAGCGGUGGCGGUGCUGGCAAAUCUUCCUCAGUGGAGGAUGAGAGAUACGAAUCGGUAUGGGACGAACGUUUUGACCUGGAAAUAAAAAUAAGUUACUAUUAAAAUAUUAUUAAUUUAUAAUCUGCGUUAGAAUACUACGUAAAGGCUAUUUUAUGGUUUUGAGAACACACAACUAUCUAAUAUUUAUGUAUACACCUACCUCUUGCUCGAGCUCGUCGAUGUUGGCGGCUUGGAUUUUUUCUUUUUGUCGAUCACGUCAACCUUCGGCGGUGGCGGCGGCGGUGCCGACGAAUCUUCCUCCGUGGAGGAUGAGAGAUAUAAAUCUUCAGCGUGGGACGAGGGUUUUGACCUGGAAAUAAAAUAAAUAAUGUGCUAUUAAAAUAAUUCAUUUAUAAUUAUAAUUCUCCAUUACUCUAACGUUGUUUUAUUUGAAUAAUGAUUAAUUAUUUUUACGAGUUUGUUACUUUGCGAAUAUAAAUAAAUAAAUAAUAUAGGAUAUUCUUACUAAGUCCUACAGUAAGUUUGCGUUGCGAGUACUCGCAUAAUAACACAUAGAAAACAACCAUGACUCGGGAACAAAUAUAUGUGUUCAUCACACAAACCCUUACUGAGAUUCGACCCAGAAGCCCCUGGCUUAGUAGCUAGUCACUAACCAGUAGGUCAGAUAAGUCGUCAAAAUUAUAUAAGCAACAUUACAAUAUACAUUUAUUCACACUUACAUUGUAUGAUGAUGAUGUCCUUGUAGCUUCAGUAGAGAGAACAGUGGGUUUUCCUUGCUUCCUGUGUAGCGGAAUGAAUCAAGAGGAUCGAUCUGAGGAGCUUAAGUAGUGAAAAUUCACGUGGAGCUAACGCAAUACCUAUAUGAAAUUUGUCAACGUGAUUGAAAAACGCAACUCAGCACUUAGUCGGUGGAAACAAUCAUCGAUUGCAAAUCCCACAACGCAGCAAAAUCAGAUCACCGUGUAUAAUAUAAAACAAAUACGUGAAGAUAUAAACCCCCGAAAAUAAGUGAAAAUAUUAUUUACUCUUAUAUAUUCAACGCGAUUAGUUCUACGGAAAAUAUGUCGGUAAGUAUUUUUUUUAGAGUGAGUGUUUGUAUUAUUAUUAUAAAAUAAUUUCAAAUUAUAAUGGUUACAUUACUCAUACGUAAUUGAUAUAAAAUAAUAAUUAAGUAAAUACAAUUUUUAAUGUAUGUGUCUGCUUAGCGCUAAGUCCACCUGUAGUCACCUACUUCGUUAAUUUCAUCGGAUUUCUCUGUAACUUAUGUUUUUUUUUUUGUGUGCAAUAAAAUAUUUUAUUAUUAAUGUAACUUAUUUCAAGUUUUCAUUUAAUUAAAAGUUAAUACUCGUAGUUAACAUUAAACUAAUAACUUAAUUAUUAAUUACAGGAUACAUCAGAACACCUAUUCAACUUCGUUCCUUUGGCAUCAUCCCAAACUCAAAGUCAGAGUGAACGGGAG